Bombus impatiens (common eastern bumble bee) is the source of this 208-nucleotide long non-coding RNA. RefSeq lists it as uncharacterized. Lineage: Eukaryota; Metazoa; Arthropoda; Insecta; Hymenoptera; Apidae. The record is from RefSeq and is a predicted model, not a curated record. The transcript is spliced from 2 exons.
AACCAAGAAAAACGGUUGUCAAGCUUCAUUGCUCAGUUUUGUGAAAAAGUUAAAUUGUUGGAGGGGCAACAUUUUUAUCUAACAUACUAUACAUAUAUUUACAUAUUAAAAAUACUAAAACACACAUUUAUAUGAACGAGUAUGAAGUUUCAUAAUUUAAAUAAAUCAAAUAAUGAAUAUAAAUUAACUACUUUUUACAUAGUAAUGC